UACGUAGGUGGCAAGCGUUGUCCGGAUUUACUGGGUGUAAAGGGCGUGUAGCCGGGCUGACAAGUCAGAUGUGAAAUUCCGGGGCUCAACCCCGGACCUGCAUUUGAAACUGUUGGUCUUGAGUAUCGGAGAGGCAGGCGGAAUUCCUAGUGUAGCGGUGAAAUGCAUAGAUAUCGCGCAGAACUCCGAUUGCGAAGGCAGCAUGCCGGCUCCACACUGACGCUGAGGCACGAAAGCGUGGGUAUCGAACAGG
This 253-nucleotide ribosomal RNA is filed under the name uncultured Oscillospiraceae bacterium. Its description in RNAcentral is "partial 16S ribosomal RNA". It matches the Rfam family "Bacterial small subunit ribosomal RNA", at positions 524 to 776 of the family's 1533-position model. The record is from RNAcentral. Lineage: Bacteria; Bacillati; Bacillota; Clostridia; Eubacteriales; Oscillospiraceae.